GGCCUAAUAGUCGAAUUGGUUAAGACGCGACUCUUUCAAUGUUGAGAUGGGGAUUCAAUUUCCCCUUGGGCUA
RNAcentral lists this transfer RNA (73 nucleotides) under Gomphillus americanus. RNAcentral's name for it is "tRNA-Glu". It matches the Rfam family "tRNA". Rfam says of the family: Transfer RNA (tRNA) molecules are approximately 80 nucleotides in length. Their secondary structure includes four short double-helical elements and three loops (D, anti-codon, and T loops). Lineage: Eukaryota; Fungi; Ascomycota; Lecanoromycetes; Ostropales; Graphidaceae. The record is from RNAcentral.